RNAcentral lists this ribosomal RNA (405 nucleotides) under Triticum aestivum (bread wheat). Its description in RNAcentral is "partial small subunit ribosomal RNA". The record is from RNAcentral. Lineage: Eukaryota; Viridiplantae; Streptophyta; Magnoliopsida; Poales; Poaceae.
AUGGCUUCGAACACGAGCUUGCUGGCCGUGAUCAUGGCGUGCACGCUCCUACUCACCGGGCACACGUGCCAGGGCGCACGCCACUUGGCCGACACGACUCCGGCGGCUGCCCCUACCGCUGCUGUACCUAGCCUGCCGGCCGUGCCGACCCUGCCUGCCGUGCCCACGGACACGGUCACCCUGCUGCCACCAAUGCCGGCGGUCACCCUGCCCACCGUGCCACAAGUGACGCUGCCGCCCAUGCCUUCCGUCGUCGUGCCUAAGGCGGUGCUGCCGCCCAUGCCCAAGGUGACGAUGGCGCCGAUGCCCGCUAUUGUCGUACCAAAGGUGACACUGCCGCCAAUGCCGUUUGUCCCGAAUGUGAACGUGCCCAUGCCGUUCCUGGCGCCACCUCCGUCUGUGUAG